UUCUCUCAGAAACUAAUUGAAAGUAAAAUCUGCUCAAAGUCCCCAAAAAGCCGCUCUUGCAGUGCUAAGGUAGCACAAUCAUUUGCCUUUUAAUUCAAGGAUAGUAUGAACGAUUUCACGAUUUUACUAUUGUAUCAUAACUCAAAAAUAAAACUAUACCAAAAGUAAAAAUACUUUUUCGACAAAGCAAGACGACAAGACCCUGACGAACUUACGACACUUAAACUAGGAUGGUUACAAAACAAAAUCUUAAUUACUCAUUACUAAAAAACAAACUACUAAAAAGUUACCGCAGGGAUAACAGCAUAAUUUGUUUUAAAAGUCCCUAUUCAAAAACAAGAUUAUGACCUCGAUGUUGAAUUAAUAAUCUAGAACAAGCAAAAAUGUCCCCAGAUAGACUGUUCGUCUAUUAAAUAUUUACA
Molecule: ribosomal RNA, 422 nt
Filed under: Rhode scutiventris
Lineage: Eukaryota; Metazoa; Arthropoda; Arachnida; Araneae; Dysderidae
Description: partial 16S ribosomal RNA
Rfam family: Bacterial large subunit ribosomal RNA
Source: RNAcentral